Molecule: ribosomal RNA, 393 nt
Filed under: uncultured bacterium
Lineage: Bacteria
Description: partial 16S ribosomal RNA
Rfam family: Bacterial small subunit ribosomal RNA
Source: RNAcentral
AUACGGAGGAUCCGAGCGUUAUCCGGAUUUAUUGGGUUUAAAGGGAGCGUAGGCGGACGCUUAAGUCAGUUGUGAAAGUUUGCGGCUCAACCGUAAAAUUGCAGUUGAUACUGGGUGUCUUGAGUACAGUAGAGGCAGGCGGAAUUCGUGGUGUAGCGGUGAAAUGCUUAGAUAUCACGAAGAACUCCGAUUGCGAAGGCAGCCUGCUGGACUGUAACUGACGCUGAUGCUCGAAAGUGUGGGUAUCAAACAGGAUUAGAUACCCUGGUAGUCCGCACAGUAAACGAUGAAUACUCGCUGUUUGCGAUACACUGUAAGCGGCCAAGCGAAAGCGUUAAGUAUUCCACCUGGGGAGUACGCCGGCAACGGUGAAACUCAAAUGAAUUGACGGGG